RNAcentral lists this ribosomal RNA (253 nucleotides) under uncultured bacterium. RNAcentral's name for it is "partial 16S ribosomal RNA". It matches the Rfam family "Bacterial small subunit ribosomal RNA", at positions 524 to 776 of the family's 1533-position model. The record is from RNAcentral.
UACGUAGGGUGCAAGCGUUGUCCGGAAUUAUUGGGCGUAAAGAGCUCGUAGGCGGUCUGUCGCGUCGGCUGUGAAAACUCGGGGCUCAACCCCGAGCCUGCAGUCGAUACGGGCAGACUAGAGUGCUGUAGGGGAGACUGGAAUUCCUGGUGUAGCGGUGAAAUGCGUAGAUAUCGGAAGGAACGCCGGUGGCGAAAGCGGCGCACUGGAUCUCCACUGACGCUGAGGCGCGAAAGCCAGGGGAGCAAACGGG